This 1072-nucleotide ribosomal RNA is filed under the name uncultured eukaryote. Its description in RNAcentral is "SSU rRNA". It matches the Rfam family "Eukaryotic small subunit ribosomal RNA", at positions 577 to 1674 of the family's 1831-position model. The record is from RNAcentral.
CGGUAAUUCCAGCUCCAAUAGCGUAUAUUAAAGUUGUUGCGGUAAAAAAGCUCGUAGUUGGAUUUCUGUUGAGGAAGAGCGGUCCAUACCACGUAUGCGUAUCUGCUUCUGCCUCGGCAUCCUCUCGAAGCACGUUCCUGCGCUUGAUUGCGUGGGGCGGAUUUCGGGACUUUUACUUUGAGGAAAUUAGAGUGUUCACAGCAGGCUAUCGCUUGAAUACGUUAGCAUGGAAUAAUGAUAUAGGAUCUCGAUUCUAUUUUGUUGGUUUCUAGGAUUGAGGUAAUGAUUAAUAGGGACAAUUGGGGGCAUUCAUAUCAACACGUCAGAGGUGGAAUUCUUGGAUUGUGUUGCGACGAACUACUGCGAAAGCAUUUGCCAAGGAUGUUUUCAUUGAUCAAGAACGAAAGUAAGGGGAUCGAAGAUGAUUAGAUACCGUCGUAGUCUUUACCACAAACUAUGCCGACUAGAGAUGGGACAUCGUUCACUUACGACUUGUUCCGCACCUUAUGAGAUAUCAAAGUUUUUGGGUUCCGGGGGGAGUGCGGUCGCAAGACUGAAACUUAAAGGAAUUGACGGAAGGGCACCACCAGGAGUGGAGCCUGCGGCUUAAUUUGACUCAACACGGGAAAACUCACCAGGUCCAGACAUAAUAAGGAUUGACAGAUUGAUAGCUCUUUCUUGAUUUUAUGGGUGGUGGUGCAUGGCCGUUCUUAGUUCGUGGAGUGAUUUGUCUGCUUAAUUGCGUUAACGAACGAGACCUUAACCUGCUAAAUAGACCAGCCUAUCUCCGGAUAAGCUGCUGUCUUCUUAGAGGGACUGUCUGUGUUUCAACAGGCGGAGGUUUGAGGCUAAAACAGGUCUGUGAUGCCCUUCGACGUUCUGGGCUGCACGCGCGCUACACUGAUGCGUUCAACGAGUGUACAACCUUGCCCGAUAGGGUUGGGUAACCUUUUGAACACGCAUCGUGAUGGGGAUUGACAAUUGCAAUUAUUUGUCAUCAACGAGGAAUUCCUAGUAGUGAUGGAUCAUCAGUUCAUCGCGAUUACGUCCCUGCCCCUUGUACACACCGCCC